Long non-coding RNA from Anthonomus grandis grandis, 5184 nucleotides. RefSeq lists it as uncharacterized. The transcript has 9 exons. Lineage: Eukaryota; Metazoa; Arthropoda; Insecta; Coleoptera; Curculionidae. The record is from RefSeq and is a predicted model, not a curated record.
ACCAGUUUCCUUAAUUUCCCACCGAUUUUCAUGAAAAUUGCAUUGAUGCAAAGGGUAUUUAAUUUAGAAUCAAAAAUGUAUCUAUAAAAAAAUUAAAAAAUUGGGAAUUUCCAGAGUUACAGGGGUAUUUUCAAAAAUAUGACAAAUUAUCAAAGGUGUCUAAGAGGUAAACUGGACCAGUUCCCUUAAUUUCCCACCGAUUUUCAUGAAAAUUGCAUUGAUGCAAAGGGUUUUUAAUUUAGAAUAAUAAAUGUAUCUACAAAAAAAUUAAAAAAUUGGGAAUUUCCAGAGUUACAGGGGUAUUUUCAAAAAUAUGGCAAAUUAUCAAAGGUGUCUAAGAGGUAAACUGGACCAGUUUCCUUAAUUUCCCACCGAUUUUCAUGAAAAUUGCAUUGAUGCAAAGGGUUUUUAAUUUAGAAUCAAAAAUGUAUCUAUAAAAAAAUUAAAAAAUUGGGAAUUUCUAGAGUUACAGGGAUAUUUUCAAAAAUAUGGCAAAUUAUCAAAGGUGUCUAAGAGGUAAACUGGACCAGUUUCCUUAAUUUCCCACCGAUUUUCAUGAAAAUUGCAUUGAUGCAAAGGGUAUUUAAUUUAGAAUCAAAAAUGUAUCUAUAAAAAAAUUAAAAAAUUGGGAAUUUCCAGAGUUACAGGGGUAUUUUCAAAAAUAUGGCAAAUUAUCAAAGGUGUCUAAGAGGUAAACUGGACCAGUUUCCUUAAUUUCCCACCGAUUUUCAUGAAAAUUGCAUUGAUGCAAAGGGUAUUUAAUUUAGAAUCAAAAAUGUAUCUAUAAAAAAAUUAAAAAAUUGGGAAUUUCCAGAGUUACAGGGGUAUUUACAAAAAUAUGGCAAAUUAUCGAAGGUGUGUAAGAGGCAAACUGGACCAGUUUCCUUAAUUUCCCACCGAUUUUCAUGAAAAUUGCAUUGAUGCAAAGGGUAUUUAAUUUAGAAUCAAAAAUGUAUCUAUAAAAAAAUUAAAAAAUUGGGAAUUUCCAGAGUUACAGGGGUAUUUACAAAAAUAUGGCAAAUUAUCAAAGGUGUCUAAGAGGUAAACUGGACCAGUUUCCUUAAUUUCCCACCGAUUUUCAUGAAAAUUGCAUUGAUGCAAAGGGUAUUUAAUUUAGAAUCAAAAAUGUAUCUAUAAAAAAAUUAAAAAAUUGGGAAUUUCCAGAGUUACAGGGGUAUUUACAAAAAUAUGGCAAAUUAUCGAAGGUGUGUAAGAGGCAAACUGGACCAGUUUCCUUAAUUUCCCACCGAUUUUCAUGAAAAUUGCAUUGAUGCAAAGGGUAUUUAAUUUAGAAUCAAAAAUGUAUCUAUAAAAAAAUUAAAAAAUUGGGAAUUUCCAGAGUUACAGGGGUAUUUUCAAAAAUAUGGCAAAUUAUCAAAGGUGUCUAAGAGGUAAACUGGACCAGUUCCCUUAAUUUCCCACCGAUUUUCAUGAAAAUUGCAUUGAUGCAAAGGGUAUUUAAUUUAGAAUCAAAAAUGUAUCUAUAAAAAAAUUAAAAAAUUGGGAAUUUCCAGAGUUACAGGGGUAUUUUCAAAAAUAUGGCAAAUUAUCAAAGGUGUCUAAGAGGUAAACUGGACCAGUUUCCUUAAUUUCCCACCGAUUUUCAUGAAAAUUGCAUUGAUGCAAAGGGUAUUUAAUUUAGAAUCAAAAAUGUAUCUAUAAAAAAAUUAAAAAAUUGGGAAUUUCCAGAGUUACAGGGGUAUUUUCAAAAAUAUGGCAAAUUAUCGAAGGUGUCUAAGAGGCAAACUGGACCAGUUCCCUUAAUUUCCCACCGAUUUUCAUGAAAAUUGCAUUGAUGCAAAGGGUAUUUAAUUUAGAAUCAAAAAUGUAUCUAUAAAAAAAUUAAAAAAUUGGGAAUUUCCAGAGUUACAGGGGUAUUUACAAAAAUAUGGCAAAUUAUCAAAGGUGUCUAAGAGGUAAACUGGACCAGUUUCCUUAAUUUCCCACCGAUUUUCAUGAAAAUUGCAUUGAUGCAAAGGGUAUUUAAUUUAGAAUCAAAAAUGUAUCUAUAAAAAAAUUAAAAAAUUGGGAAUUUCUAGAGUUACAGGGAUAUUUUCAAAAAUAUGGCAAAUUAUCAAAGGUGUCUAAGAGGUAAACUGGACCAGUUCCCUUAAUUUCCCACCGAUUUUCAUGAAAAUUGCAUUGAUGCAAAGGGUAUUUAAUUUAGAAUCAAAAAUGUAUCUAUAAAAAAAUUAAAAAAUUGGGAAUUUCCAGAGUUACAGGGGUAUUUUCAAAAAUAUGGCAAAUUAUCGAAGGUGUCUAAGAGGUAAACUGGACCAGUUCCCUUAAUUUCCCACCGAUUUUCAUGAAAAUUGCAUUGAUGCAAAGGGUAUUUAAUUUAGAAUCAAAAAUGUAUCUAUAAAAAAAUUAAAAAAUUGGGAAUUUCCAGAGUUACAGGGGUAUUUUCAAAAAUAUGGCAAAUUAUCAAAGGUGUAUAAGAGGUAAACUGGACCAGUUUCCUUAAUUUCCCACCGAUUUUCAUGAAAAUUGCAUUGAUGCAAAGGGUAUUUAAUUUAGAAUAAAAAAUGUAUCUAUAAAAAAAUUAAAAAAUUGGGAAUUUCCAGAGUUACAGGGGUAUUUUCAAAAAUAUGGCAAAUUAUCAAAGGUGUAUAAGAGGUAAACUGGACCAGUUUCCUUAAUUUCCCACCGAUUUUCAUGAAAAUUGCAUUGAUGCAAAGGGUAUUUAAUUUAGAAUCAAAAAUGUAUCUAUAAAAAAAUUAAAAAAUUGGGAAUUUCCAGAGUUACAGGGGUAUUUUCAAAAAUAUGGCAAAUUAUCAAAGGUGUAUAAGAGGUAAACUGGACCAGUUUCCUUAAUUUCCCACCGAUUUUCAUGAAAAUUGCAUUGAUGCAAAGGGUAUUUAAUUUAGAAUCAAAAAUGUAUCUACAAAAAAUAUUAAAAAUUGGAAAUUUUCAAAGUUACAGGGGUAUUUUCAAAAAUAUGACAAAUUAUCGAAGGUGUCUAAGAGGUAAACUGGACCAGUUCCCUUAAUUUCCCACCGAUUUUCAUGAAAAUUGCAUUGAUGCAAAGGGUAUUUAAUUUAGAAUCAAAAAUGUAUCUAUAAAAAAAUUAAAAAAUUGGGAAUUUCCAGAGUUACAGGGGUAUUUACAAAAAUAUGGCAAAUUAUCGAAGGUGUGUAAGAGGCAAACUGGACCAGUUUCCUUAAUUUCCCACCGAUUUUCAUGAAAAUUGCAUUGAUGCAAAGGGUAUUUAAUUUAGAAUCAAAAAUGUAUCUAUAAAAAAAUUAAAAAAUUGGGAAUUUCCAGAGUUACAGGGGUAUUUACAAAAAUAUGGCAAAUUAUCAAAGGUGUGUAAGAGGCAAACUGGACCAGUUUCCUUAAUUUCCCACCGAUUUUCAUGAAAAUUGCAUUAAUGCAAAGGGUAUUUAAUUUAGAAUCAAAAAUGUAUCUAUAAAAAAAUUAAAAAAUUGGGAAUUUCUAGAGUUACAGGGAUAUUUUCAAAAAUAUGGCAAAUUAUCGAAGGUGUGUAAGAGGCAAACUGGACCAGUUUCCUUAAUUUCCCACCGAUUUUCAUGAAAAUUGCAUUGAUGCAAAGGGUAUUUAAUUUAGAAUCAAAAAUGUAUCUACAAAAAAUAUUAAAAAUUGGAAAUUUUCAAAGUUACAGGGGUAUUUUCAAAAAUAUGACAAAUUAUCGAAGGUGUCUAAGAGGUAAACUGGACCAGUUCCCUUAAUUUCCCACCGAUUUUCAUGAAAAAUUGCAUUGAUGCAAAGGGUAUUUAAUUUAGAAUCAAAAAUGUAUCUAUAAAAAAAUUAAAAAAUUGGGAAUUUCCAGAGUUACAGGGGUAUUUACAAAAAUAUGGCAAAUUAUCAAAGGUGUGUAAGAGGCAAACUGGACCAGUUUCCUUAAUUUCCCACCGAUUUUCAUGAAAAUUGCAUUGAUGCAAAGGGUAUUUAAUUUAGAAUCAAAAAUGUAUCUAUAAAAAAAUUAAAAAAUUGGGAAUUUCUAGAGUUACAGGGAUAUUUUCAAAAAUAUGGCAAAUUAUCAAAGGUGUCUAAGAGGUAAACUGGACCAGUUUCCUUAAUUUCCCACCGAUUUUCAUGAAAAUUGCAUUGAUGCAAAGGGUAUUUAAUUUAGAAUCAAAAAUGUAUCUAUAAAAAAAUUAAAAAAUUGGGAAUUUCUAGAGUUACAGGGAUAUUUUCAAAAAUAUGGCAAAUUAUCAAAGGUGUCUAAGAGGUAAACUGGACCAGUUCCCUUAAUUUCCCACCGAUUUUCAUGAAAAUUGCAUUGAUGCAAAGGGUAUUUAAUUUAGAAUCAAAAAUGUAUCUAUAAAAAAAUUAAAAAAUUGGGAAUUUCCAGAGUUACAGGGGUAUUUUCAAAAAUAUGACAAAUUAUCAAAGGUGUCUAAGAGGUAAACUGGACCAGUUCCCUUAAUUUCCCACCGAUUUUCAUGAAAAUUGCAUUGAUGCAAAGGGUAUUUAAUUUAGAAUCAAAAAUGUAUCUAUAAAAAAAUUAAAAAAUUGGGAAUUUCCAGAGUUACAGGGGUAUUUACAAAAAUAUGGCAAAUUAUCGAAGGUGUGUAAGAGGCAAACUGGACCAGUUUCCUUAAUUUCCCACCGAUUUUCAUGAAAAUUGCAUUGAUGCAAAGGGUAUUUAAUUUAGAAUCAAAAAUGUAUCUAUAAAAAAAUUAAAAAAUUGGGAAUUUCUAGAGUUACAGGGAUAUUUUCAAAAAUAUGGCAAAUUAUCAAAGGUGUCUAAGAGGUAAACUGGACCAGUUCCCUUAAUUUCCCACCGAUUUUCAUGAAAAUUGCAUUGAUGCAAAGGGUAUUUAAUUUAGAAUCAAAAAUGUAUCUAUAAAAAAAUUAAAAAAUUGGGAAUUUCCAGAGUUACAGGGGUAUUUACAAAAAUAUGGCAAAUUAUCGAAGGUGUAUAAGAGGCAAACUGGACCAGUUUCCUUAAUUUCCCACCGAUUUUCAUGAAAAUUGCAUUGAUGCAAAGGGUAUUUAAUUUAGAAUCAAAAAUGUAUCUAUAAAAAAAUUAAAAAAUUGGGAAUUUCCAGAGUUACAGGGGUAUUUUCAAAAAUAUGACAAAUUAUCAAAGGUGUCUAAGAGGUAAACUGGACCAGUUCCCUUAAUUUCCCACCGAUUUUCAUGAAAAUUGCAUUGAUGCAAAGGGUAUUUAAUUUAGAAUAAAAAAUGUAUCUAUAAAAAAAUUAAAAAAUUGGGAAU